GAUGAACGCUGGCGGCGUGCCUAAUACAUGCAAGUCGAGCGAACGGACGAGAAGCUUGCUUCUCUGAUGUUAGCGGCGGACGGGUGAGUAACACGUGGAUAACCUACCUAUAAGACUGGGAUAACUUCGGGAAACCGGAGCUAAUACCGGAUAAUAUUUUGAACCGCAUGGUUCAAUAGUGAAAGACGGUCUUGCUGUCACUUAUAGAUGGAUCCGCGCUGCAUUAGCUAGUUGGUAAGGUAACGGCUUACCAAGGCAACGAUGCAUAGCCGACCUGAGAGGGUGAUCGGCCACACUGGAACUGAGACACGGUCCAGACUCCUACGGGAGGCAGCAGUAGGGAAUCUUCCGCAAAGGGCGAAAGCCUGACGGAGCAACGCCGCGUGAGUGAUGAAGGUCUUCGGAUCGUAAAACUCUGUUAUUAGGGAAGAACAUAUGUGUAAGUAACUGUGCACAUCUUGACGGUACCUAAUCAGAAAGCCACGGCUAACUACGUG
This 497-nucleotide ribosomal RNA is filed under the name uncultured bacterium. RNAcentral describes it as "partial 16S ribosomal RNA". It matches the Rfam family "Bacterial small subunit ribosomal RNA", at positions 28 to 507 of the family's 1533-position model. The record is from RNAcentral.